UACGUAGGGUGCGAGCGUUAAUCGGAAUUACUGGGCGUAAAGCGUGCGCAGGCGGUUGGGCAAGACAGAUGUGAAAUCCCCGGGCUCAACCUGGGAACUGCAUUUGUGACUGCACGGCUGGAGUGCGGCAGAGGGGGAUGGAAUUCCGCGUGUAGCAGUGAAAUGCGUAGAUAUGCGGAGGAACACCGAUGGCGAAGGCAAUCCCCUGGGCCUGCACUGACGCUCAUGCACGAAAGCGUGGGGAGCAAACAGG
This 253-nucleotide ribosomal RNA is filed under the name uncultured bacterium. RNAcentral's name for it is "partial 16S ribosomal RNA". It matches the Rfam family "Bacterial small subunit ribosomal RNA", at positions 524 to 776 of the family's 1533-position model. The record is from RNAcentral.